RNAcentral lists this ribosomal RNA (456 nucleotides) under uncultured bacterium. RNAcentral describes it as "bacterial SSU rRNA". It matches the Rfam family "Bacterial small subunit ribosomal RNA", at positions 340 to 786 of the family's 1533-position model. The record is from RNAcentral.
UACGGAAGGCAGCAGUGGGGAAUAUUGCACAAUGGGCGAAAGCCUGAUGCAGCUAUGCCGCGUGUAUGAAGAAGGCCUUAGGGUUGUAAAGUACUUUCAUCGGGGAGGAAAAAACAAAACUAAUAAUUUUAUUUCUUGACGUUACCCGAAAAAGAAGCACCGGCUAACUCCGUGCCAGCAGCCGCGGUAAUACGGAGGGUGCUAGCGUUAAUCAGAAUUACUGGGCGUAAAGAGCACGUAGGUGGUUUUUUUAAGUUCAGAUGUGAAUCCCUGGGCUUAACCUAGGAACUGCAUUUUGAAACUGAAAUACUAGAGUAUCGUAGAGGGAGGUAGAAUUCUAGGUGUAGCGGUGAAAUGCGUAGAUAUCUGGAGGAAUACCUGUGGCGAAAGCGGCCUCCUAAACGAAUACUGACACUGAGGUGCGAAAGCGUGGGGAGCAAACAGGGAUUAGAUACC